This 496-nucleotide ribosomal RNA is filed under the name uncultured bacterium. Its description in RNAcentral is "partial 16S ribosomal RNA". It matches the Rfam family "Bacterial small subunit ribosomal RNA", at positions 29 to 507 of the family's 1533-position model. The record is from RNAcentral.
AUGAACGCUGGCGGCGUGCCUAAUACAUGCCAGUCGAGCGAACAGACGAGGAGCUUGCUCCUCUGACGUUAGCGGCGGACGGGUGAGUAACACGUGGAUAACCUACCUAUAAGACUGGGAUAACUUCGGGAAACCGGAGCUAAUACCGGAUAAUAUAUUGAACCACAUGGUUCAAUAGUGAAAGACGGUUUUGCUGUCACUUAUAGAUGGAUCCGCGCCGCAUUAGCUAGUUGGUAAGGUAACGGCUUACCAAGGCAACGAUGCGUAGCCGACCUGAGAGGGUGAUCGGCCACACUGGAACUGAGACACGGUCCAGACUCCUACGGGAGGCAGCAGUAGGGAAUCUUCCGCAAUGGGCGAAAGCUUGACGGAGCAACGCCGCGUGAGUGAUGAAGGUCUUCGGAUCGUAAAACUCUGUUAUUAGGGAAGAACAAAUGUGUAAGUAACUAUGCACGUCUUGACGGUACCUAAUCAGAAAGCCACGGCUAACUACGUG